UGGGCGUAAGCGUGCGUAGGCGGCUUUUUAAGUCGGAUGUGAAAUCCCUGAGCUUAACUUAGGAAUUGCAUUCGAUACUGGGAAGCUAGAGUAUGGGAGAGGAUGGUAGAAUUCCAGGUGUAGCGGUGAAAUGCGUAGAGAUCUGGAGGAAUACCGAUGGCGAAGGCAGCCAUCUGGCCUAAUACUGACGCUGAGGUACGAAAGCAUGGGGAGCAAACAGGAUUAGAUACCCUGGUAGUCCAUGCCGUAAACGAUGUCUACUAGCCGUUGGGGCCUUUGAGGCUUUAGUGGCGCAGCUAACGCGAUAAGUAGACCGCCUGGGGAGUACGGUCGCAAGACUAAAACUCAAAUGAAUUGACGGGGGCCCGCACAAGCGGUGGAGCAUGUGGUUUAAUUCGAUGCAACGCGAAGAACCUUACCUGGUCUUGACAUAGUAAGAACUUUCCAGAGAUGGAUUGGUGCCUUCGGGAACUUACAUACAGGUGCUGCAUGGCUGUCGUCAGCUCGUGUCGUGAGAUGUUGGGUUAAGUCCCGCAACGAGCGCAACCCUUUUCCUUAUUUGCCAGCGGGUUAAGCCGGGAACUUUAAGGAUACUGCCAGUGACAAACUGGAGGAAGGCGGGGACGACGUCAAGUCAUCAUGGCCCUUACGACCAGGGCUACACACGUGCUACAAUGGUCGGUACAAAGGGUUGCUACCUAGCGAUAGGAUGCUAAUCUCAAAAAGCCGAUCGUAGUCCGGAUUGGAGUCUGCAACUCGACUCCAUGAAGUCGGAAUCGCU
This 781-nucleotide ribosomal RNA is filed under the name Acinetobacter sp. Its description in RNAcentral is "bacterial SSU rRNA". It matches the Rfam family "Bacterial small subunit ribosomal RNA", at positions 555 to 1336 of the family's 1533-position model. Lineage: Bacteria; Pseudomonadati; Pseudomonadota; Gammaproteobacteria; Moraxellales; Moraxellaceae. The record is from RNAcentral.